Oreochromis aureus is the source of this 812-nucleotide long non-coding RNA. The record is from Ensembl. NCBI's taxonomy places the organism in Eukaryota, Metazoa, Chordata, Actinopteri, Cichliformes, Cichlidae.
GAUGAAUGGUAUCCCUCGGUCCAACCCACUUUCAGCCUGGCGCAUUAGGGGGCGCUAGUAUAAAUAGUGGCCAUUUGAGUGUCCCUGGAUCGCUUGCCUGUGACCUCCUUUUUGGUCACCUGACUUCCUGUUGGUGUUGCUGAGAUUAGUUGCGGGUUACUUUUCUGAAGCCUCCAUCGCAGCUGAUGCGGAGUGCUGACGUGGAGGAGACUAGGGUGCCUUGGUGGUGGGAUCCUCUGAGUGUACACACCUGCCUUGUUUAAUUUAUUAGUGUGAGUGUGCUGCACUUGUGUCUUGGUGUAUUUUUCUUUUUGAGUUUGUGUGUGGCAUCCCUGCCCUCCACUGGAUAAAAGCAAAGCAGCAGCUACUUUGGUGUGGGAUUCCACAGCUGUGUUACAGAGAUGGAGGAAGAGUUACAGGAACUCAGGGACUUGAUCGUGCAGCUGAAAGCAGACAAUGAGAGGCUGCGUCAGGAGAGGGCUGUUGGGUCAGAUGCGGAGUGCUGACGUGGAGGAGACUAGGGUGCCUUGGUGGUGGGAUCCUCUGAGUGUACACACCUGCCUUGUUUAAUUUAUUAGUGUGAGUGUGCUGCACUUGUGUCUUGGUGUAUUUUCUUUUUUUGAGUUUGUGUGUGGCAUCCCUGCCCUCCACUGGCAGGAGAAAGUAUCUCCAAGAAAAGAAACAGCCUCGGCCAUCGCACAGGCGUCUCAGCAGAAGGAUAAAUAGUUCCUAUAUCAGGAUUUGUGCCGUGGAUCAUACUCUCCGUGACUCUCGCCUCAGGUUCCGAUGGUAAGUUGACAGUUUGUUUUAAU